AUGUCGUGAUGUGGACAUUUCCUAAGGAAGUCAUUAAGGUGCUCCCAUGCCUCAUGAAACAAUUCCCCUUCCCCUUGAGAAAAUUCCCGAAUUAAGGUUCUGAUUGC
Cornus florida is the source of this 107-nucleotide small nucleolar RNA. NCBI's taxonomy places the organism in Eukaryota, Viridiplantae, Streptophyta, Magnoliopsida, Cornales, Cornaceae. The record is from RefSeq and is a predicted model, not a curated record.